UCGAGUUAUCGGAAAGGACAAUAUUCAGUCAGACGGAUUUUCAGUUAUAGGUGUAGAAUUUUUCUAUUUAACUGUUAAACUUUCCGAUUAGCUGUUGAAAAACGGCAUUGGAUUAAACAAUGAUCUACGAUUUUUGCAUGAAGUGUCGCCGUCUUGUGAGGCCUAGGAGAAAGUGAAGGACAUGUAUAUCAUGUGGAAAAAAACAACAUGAACAGUAACUGAAGGUUAUCCGAUAUACCGAGUUACCGAUAUUGUUAAACGCUAUACUAUUUAUACAGACAAUGAAUUAAAAGAGACAGCACAAACGUACGAUACUUGUUCGCGAGUCGCUGAGGACGUAUAUUUGAUAGCAAGGACUUGGACUUGAACAAUCAUGAAAACGGUUUACAUUGCUCCGGUGAUUUUCUUCUGCUUACUUGCGGGCCGUAACGCCAGCUCAUCAUGUACACCUGGUGAUAAGCAGUGUGACUCUUGUUCAGUAAAAGCUGGCAAGACUGACUCAUUGUUCAAAAGAUCUUUGUAAAACUCCAAUCGCGGAAGGCGAUAAUCAGUGUGGGAUAGCGGGAGUGUAUCAAAACCAGCUAGAGUCAGUUAUCAGUUUUACAUGCAAAGACGGUAGUAUUGACGGGCGCUAUUGCAGCGCUGUUGGUGAAGCGAUCUUUUUCUACCAAUUGGCUGGACGUUACCUGGUGGCGAAUGAUAACGUUAUACUGGGAUGGACUGUAUCUUUGGUAAAUGCGCAUGGGAACAGCGAGGCGGCCACAUCUUGGACUGGCAUCUCGUACAGUGGUCAGGACACGAUUGACACUCAGUGGCUCCUUGUGGCGAACAAGGAGGAAUUCUGGAACACCACAACGAUCAACGGUGACACAUUCACUAAAGUGUGUAUUUAAAAUCCUAUGGACGGGGACCUCUAAGACAAAUUACCCGUCUAUUAUACCAAUAUCACCGAUUGAAUAGAACGUAUUAUUGUUUGAAUUGAAUAUAAACUUUUCCAUAAUAGAAUAGCCGCUGUUCCAAUUGUUCAUUAAGAAAGUCAACUCACUGAUGUUAAUUAAUUAGCUAAAAUGUAUUUGUAUGUACUUGAUCUUUUCAGAGACAGAGAUUUGUUUUGAAUUUAAGUCCUAAUAAAAAGCACCAAAUGGAA
This is a long non-coding RNA of Mya arenaria, 1147 nucleotides long. RefSeq lists it as uncharacterized. The transcript is spliced from 5 exons. Lineage: Eukaryota; Metazoa; Mollusca; Bivalvia; Myida; Myidae. The record is from RefSeq and is a predicted model, not a curated record.